This 598-nucleotide ribosomal RNA is filed under the name Saccharomyces cerevisiae (brewer's yeast). RNAcentral's name for it is "eukaryotic LSU rRNA". It matches the Rfam family "Eukaryotic large subunit ribosomal RNA", at positions 55 to 667 of the family's 3401-position model. The record is from RNAcentral. Lineage: Eukaryota; Fungi; Ascomycota; Saccharomycetes; Saccharomycetales; Saccharomycetaceae.
GGAAAAGAAACCAACCGGGAUUGCCUUAGUAACGGCGAGUGAAGCGGCAAAAGCUCAAAUUUGAAAUCUGGUACCUUCGGUGCCCGAGUUGUAAUUUGGAGAGGGCAACUUUGGGGCCGUUCCUUGUCUAUGUUCCUUGGAACAGGACGUCAUAGAGGGUGAGAAUCCCGUGUGGCGAGGAGUGCGGUUCUUUGUAAAGUGCCUUCGAAGAGUCGAGUUGUUUGGGAAUGCAGCUCUAAGUGGGUGGUAAAUUCCAUCUAAAGCUAAAUAUUGGCGAGAGACCGAUAGCGAACAAGUACAGUGAUGGAAAGAUGAAAAGAACUUUGAAAAGAGAGUGAAAAAGUACGUGAAAUUGUUGAAAGGGAAGGGCAUUUGAUCAGACAUGGUGUUUUGUGCCCUCUGCUCCUUGUGGGUAGGGGAAUCUCGCAUUUCACUGGGCCAGCAUCAGUUUUGGUGGCAGGAUAAAUCCAUAGGAAUGUAGCUUGCCUCGGUAAGUAUUAUAGCCUGUGGGAAUACUGCCAGCUGGGACUGAGGACUGCGACGUAAGUCAAGGAUGCUGGCAUAAUGGUUAUAUGCCGCCCGUCUUGAAACACGGACC